This is a long non-coding RNA of Astyanax mexicanus (Mexican tetra), 1009 nucleotides long. RefSeq lists it as uncharacterized. Lineage: Eukaryota; Metazoa; Chordata; Actinopteri; Characiformes; Acestrorhamphidae. The transcript is spliced from 2 exons. The record is from RefSeq and is a predicted model, not a curated record.
CUACCAAGCUGACCGCUGUUAGAGUUGAGGCUGCAGAGUGGAGAAAGGGGGAAAGGCUCACUUAUUGUGCCUCGUGAAACUUUGCCAGUUACACGCUCCGGUAAUCUCCAGGUGGAGGUAGAACCUGGUGUCCAUGUGCCCUGGGGUGGUGUGUGAAAACCUUGGAUAGGAUUCGGCCAGUUUUUUUGUUGGGUGAAAUGGAUUGGAAAUGGAUCUUCCCGAACACUCCUCGUGUCGUUCAGCUGCACACGGCCGGUGCAGUGCGCGGUGCUAGGAUGGCGAGCCAAGCCCGAGGACCCAAGUGACUUCAUUACACUUCAUUCACAUUUUCAAACACUUGAUAGUGAACAUUAAAGAAAAUUUGUGGACUUUAAGAUUAUUUGAUAAAAAGGACACUUUUAUUUUAUUUUAUUUUUUUUUGAAAGACAGGACACUCUACAAAGAUACUGAAAAGGGUUAAAUUUUAAUUGGUUGGAUUACUGUUAUUUGAUUUUGAUAAUUUCUAAGUGGUUUUGAUAUUCAUUUAUUGUUUUUGCUACAGAGAAUUGUUAUUUUUUAUUUCUGGUUGUUUGUUAAAGGGUAUACUAUUGGUGUAAAAUAACCUAGAGGUUUAAUUGGAUAACAGUAAUUAUAAUAAUACUUACCUUUAAUCAAUAAUCCAUUAGACCUAGAAGAAAGAAAUAAUUAAUUAGUUAUAAAAUACCUAUAAAUAGAUUAAAAUAAUAAAAUAAUACUUACCUUAAACUGCAUAAAUACCUCUAAAAUAGAGAACACAGGUGAUUAGAGAAAUAAUAGUAAUUAAUAUAAUAUUAAAUAUACAAAUACUGAAAUACAAAGGGUAUACUUACCAUUUUCAUUGUUGACCAAGGUUAUUGAAGGGUGAAUUCUUUUGGAAACUGAGUAACUGAAUUGUUUUUUAUUUAUUUAUUUACAGAAUUUAUUUUGUUACAUUGUUUUAUUUACCUACUGGCAUUGAUUGACAUUUUAAUACACUUUAUUGCUGCACAAA